Molecule: ribosomal RNA, 253 nt
Filed under: uncultured bacterium
Lineage: Bacteria
Description: partial 16S ribosomal RNA
Rfam family: Bacterial small subunit ribosomal RNA
Source: RNAcentral
UACAGGGGGUGCAAACGUUGCUCGGAAUCAUUGGGCGUAAAGCGCACGUAGGCGGUCUGUUAUGUCGGAUGUGAAAGCCCUCGGCUCAACUGAGGAAGUGCAUCCGAAACUGGCAGGCUAGAGUACUAAAGAGGGUCGCGGAAUUCCCGGUGUAGAGGUGAAAUUCGUAGAUAUCGGGAGGAACACCGGUGGCGAAGGCGGCGACCUGGGUAGAUACUGACGCUGAGGUGCGAAAGCGUGAGGAGCAAACAGG